Molecule: ribosomal RNA, 497 nt
Filed under: uncultured bacterium
Lineage: Bacteria
Description: partial 16S ribosomal RNA
Rfam family: Bacterial small subunit ribosomal RNA
Source: RNAcentral
GAUGAACGCUGGCGGCGUGCCUAAUACAUGCAAGUCGAGCGAACAGAUGAGGAGCUUGCUCCUCUGACGUUAGCGGCGGACGGGUGAGUAACACGUGGAUAACCUACCUAUAAGACUGGGAUAACUUCGGGAAACCGGAGCUAAUACCGGAUAAUAUAUUGAACCGCAUGGUUCAAUAGUGAAAGGCGGUUUUGCUGUCACUUAUAGAUGGAUCCGCGCCGCAUUAGCUAGUUGGUAAGGUAACGGCUUACCAAGGCAACGAUGCGUAGCCGACCUGAGAGGGUGAUCGGCCACACUGGAACUGAGACACGGUCCAGACUCCUACGGGAGGCAGCAGUAGGGAAUCUUCCGCAAAGGGCGAAAGCCUGACGGAGCAACGCCGCGUGAGUGAUGAAGGUCUUCGGAUCGUAAAACUCUGUUAUUAGGGAAGAACAAAUGUGUAAGUAACUAUGCACGUCUUGACGGUACCUAAUCAGAAAGCCACGGCUAACUACGUG